Molecule: ribosomal RNA, 500 nt
Filed under: uncultured bacterium
Lineage: Bacteria
Description: bacterial SSU rRNA
Rfam family: Bacterial small subunit ribosomal RNA
Source: RNAcentral
GAGUGCUUGCACUCAAUUGGAAAGAGGAGUGGCGGACGGGUGAGUAACACGUGGGUAACCUACCCAUCAGAGGGGGAUAACACUUGGAAACAGGUGCUAAUACCGCAUAACAGUUUAUGCCGCAUGGCAUAAGAGUGAAAGGCGCUUUCGGGUGUCGCUGAUGGAUGGACCCGCGGUGCAUUAGCUAGUUGGUGAGGUAACGGCUCACCAAGGCCACGAUGCAUAGCCGACCUGAGAGGGUGAUCGGCCACACUGGGACUGAGACACGGCCCAGACUCCUACGGGAGACAGCAGUAGGGAAUCUUCGGCAAUGGACGAAAGUCUGACCGAGCAACGCCGCGGGAGUGAAGAAGGUUUUCGGAUCGUAAAACUCUGUUGUUAGAGAAGAACAAGGACGUUAGUAACUGAACGUCCCCUGACGGUAUCUAACCAGAAAGCCACGGCUAACUACGUGCCAGCAGCCGCGGUAAUACGUAGGUGGCAAGCGUUGUCCGGAUUUA